CACAGUCUGGCAUCAGACAGGGGUAAAAGCAGUAAUGCGUUUUGAGAUGGUCCUGUGUCCUAUCAGCUUGUUGGUGAGGUAACGGCUCACCAAGGCUAUGACGGGUAUCCGGCCUGAAAGGGUGAACGGACACACUGGAACUGAGACACGGUCCAGACUCCUACGGGAGGCAGCAGUGGGGAAUUUUGGACAAUGGGGGAAACCCUGAUCCAGCGACGCCGCGUGAAGGAUGAAGGCCUUCGGGUUGUAAACUUCUUUUGGAGGGGACGAAUAAAUUGACGGUACCCUCAGAAAAAGCCACGGCUAACUACGUGCCAGCAGCCGCGGUAAUACGUAGGUGGCGAGCGUUACUCGGAAUUACUAGGCGUAAAGCGUAUGUAGGCGGUUGUAUAAGUCUAUGGUGAAAUUUCCUGGCUCAACUGGGAAGGGACAUAGAUACUGUAUGGCUUGAGUGUUGGAGGGGGAGACGGAAUUCCUGGUGUAGCGGUGAAAUGCGUAGAUAUCAGGAGGAACACCGAUGGCGAAAGCAGUCUCCUGGCCAAAUACUGACGCUGAGGUACGAAAGCUAGGGUAGCAAACAGGAUUAGAUACCCUGGUAGUCCUAGCUGUAAACGAUGUUCACUAGAUGUGGGAGGUAUCGACCCCUUCCGCGUCGACGCUAACGCAUUAAGUGAACCGCCUGGGGAGUACGGCCGCAAGGUUGAAACUCAAAUGAAUUGACGG
Molecule: ribosomal RNA, 723 nt
Filed under: uncultured bacterium
Lineage: Bacteria
Description: bacterial SSU rRNA
Rfam family: Bacterial small subunit ribosomal RNA
Source: RNAcentral